This is a non-coding RNA of Schistosoma curassoni, 45 nucleotides long. Lineage: Eukaryota; Metazoa; Platyhelminthes; Trematoda; Strigeidida; Schistosomatidae. The record is from Rfam.
AUCCAGCUGACGAGUCUCAAAUGAGACAAAAUAUACAUCCUGGAU